RNAcentral lists this ribosomal RNA (482 nucleotides) under uncultured Acaulospora. RNAcentral's name for it is "SSU rRNA". It matches the Rfam family "Eukaryotic small subunit ribosomal RNA", at positions 569 to 1053 of the family's 1831-position model. The record is from RNAcentral. Lineage: Eukaryota; Fungi; Glomeromycota; Glomeromycetes; Diversisporales; Acaulosporaceae.
AGCAGCCGCGGUAAUUCCAGCUCCAAUAGCGUAUAUUAAAGUUGUUGCAGUUAAAAAGCUCGUAGUUGAAUUUCGGAAUCUGUCCGUCGGUCGGGCUUCACUGUCCGUACUGGUGUGGUGGGUUCUUACCUUCUGAAUAACCAGCAUGCUAUUCAUUUGGUGCGCUGGGGAAGCAGGACUAUUACCUUGAAAAAAUUAGAGUGCUCAAAGCAGGCUAGUGCCUGAAUACAUUAGCAUGGAAUAAUAAAAUAGGACGGCAUGGUUCUAUUUUGUUGGUUUCUAGGAUCACCGUAAUGAUUAAUAGGGAUAGUUGGGGGCAUUAGUAUUCAAUUGUCAGAGGUGAAAUUCUUGGAUUUAUUGAAGACUAACUUCUGCGAAAGCAUUUGCCAAGGAUGUUUUCAUUAAUCAAGAACGAAAGUUAGGGGAUCGAAGACGAUCAGAUACCGUCGUAGUCUUAACCAUAAACUAUGCCGACUAGGGAU